This 286-nucleotide unclassified non-coding RNA is filed under the name Hevea brasiliensis (rubber tree). Lineage: Eukaryota; Viridiplantae; Streptophyta; Magnoliopsida; Malpighiales; Euphorbiaceae. The record is from RNAcentral.
GCUGCGUUGUGAUGUCAAAUUAAGACUGACCUUGCCCCUUGUCCUACUAUGCAUAGUACUUUUGGGGGAAAUCCAUUGGCAAGUGCAGUUGCUAUUGCAUCACUUGAAGUGAUCAAAGAUGAGAGACUUGCUGAGAGAUCAGCUAAAUUAGGAGAGGAGCUCAGAAAUCAGCUCAUCAAGAUUCAGGAACAAUUCCCACAAUAUAUCAAGAAUGUUCGAGGAAGAGGUUUAUUCAAUGCUGUGGAGCUCAAAGGAAAAGCUUUAUUUCCUGUUUCUGCUUAUGAUA